RNAcentral lists this ribosomal RNA (468 nucleotides) under uncultured bacterium. Its description in RNAcentral is "partial 16S ribosomal RNA". It matches the Rfam family "Bacterial small subunit ribosomal RNA", at positions 28 to 507 of the family's 1533-position model. The record is from RNAcentral.
GACGAACGCUGGCGGCGUGCUUAACACAUGCAAGUCGAACGGAAAGGCCCUGCUUUUGUGGGGUGCUCGAGUGGCGAACGGGUGCGUAACACGUGAGUAACCUGCCCUUGACUUUGGGAUAACUUCAGGAAACUGGGGCUAAUACCGGAUAGGAGCUCCUGCUGCAUGGAGGGGGUUGGAACGUUUCGGCGGUUGGGGAUGGACUGGCGGCUGAUCAGCUUGUUGGUGGGGUAGUGGCUUACCAAGGCUUUGACGGGUCGCCGGCCUGGGAGGGUGACCGGCCACAUUGGGACUGAGAGACGGCCCAGACGCCUACGGGAGGCAGCAGUGGGGAAUAUUGCACAGUGGGCGGGAGCCUGAUGCAGCAACGCCGCGUGCGUGAUGACGGCCUUCGGGUUGUAAACCGCUUCCGCCUGUGACGAAGCGGGAGUGACGGUAAUGGGUAAAGAAGCACCGGCUAACUACGUG